GGUUAAGCGACUAAGCGUACACGGUGGAUGCCCUGGCAGUCAGAGGCGAUGAAGGACGUGCUAAUCUGCGAUAAGCGUCGGUAAGGUGAUAUGAACCGUUAUAACCGGCGAUUUCCGAAUGGGGAAACCCAGUGUGUUUCGACACACUAUCAUUAACUGAAUCCAUAGGUUAAUGAGGCGAACCGGGGGAACUGAAACAUCUAAGUACCCCGAGGAAAAGAAAUCAACCGAGAUUCCCCCAGUAGCGGCGAGCGAACGGGGAGCAGCCCAGAGCCUGAAUCAGUGUGUGUGUUAGUGGAAGCGUCUGGAAAGGCGCGCGAUACAGGGUGACAGCCCCGUACACAAAAAUGCACAUGCUGUGAGCUCGAUGAGUAGGGCGGGACACGUGGUAUCCUGUCUGAAUAUGGGGGGACCAUCCUCCAAGGCUAAAUACUCCUGACUGACCGAUAGUGAACCAGUACCGUGAGGGAAAGGCGAAAAGAACCCCGGCGAGGGGAGUGAAAAAGAACCUGAAACCGUGUACGUACAAGCAGUGGGAGCACGCUUAGGCGUGUGACUGCGUACCUUUUGUAUAAUGGGUCAGCGACUUAUAUUCUGUAGCAAGGUUAACCGAAUAGGGGAGCCGAAGGGAAACCGAGUCUUAACUGGGCGUUAAGUUGCAGGGUAUAGACCCGAAACCCGGUGAUCUAGCCAUGGGCAGGUUGAAGGUUGGGUAACACUAACUGGAGGACCGAACCGACUAAUGUUGAAAAAUUAGCGGAUGACUUGUGGCUGGGGGUGAAAGGCCAAUCAAACCGGGAGAUAGCUGGUUCUCCCCGAAAGCUAUUUAGGUAGCGCCUCGUGAAUUCAUCUCCGGGGGUAGAGCACUGUUUCGGCAAGGGGGUCAUCCCGACUUACCAACCCGAUGCAAACUGCGAAUACCGGAGAAUGUUAUCACGGGAGACACACGGCGGGUGCUAACGUCCGUCGUGAAGAGGGAAACAACCCAGACCGCCAGCUAAGGUCCCAAAGUCAUGGUUAAGUGGGAAACGAUGUGGGAAGGCCCAGACAGCCAGGAUGUUGGCUUAGAAGCAGCCAUCAUUUAAAGAAAGCGUAAUAGCUCACUGGUCGAGUCGGCCUGCGCGGAAGAUGUAACGGGGCUAAACCAUGCACCGAAGCUGCGGCAGCGACGCUUAUGCGUUGUUGGGUAGGGGAGCGUUCUGUAAGCCUGCGAAGGUGUGCUGUGAGGCAUGCUGGAGGUAUCAGAAGUGCGAAUGCUGACAUAAGUAACGAUAAAGCGGGUGAAAAGCCCGCUCGCCGGAAGACCAAGGGUUCCUGUCCAACGUUAAUCGGGGCAGGGUGAGUCGACCCCUAAGGCGAGGCCGAAAGGCGUAGUCGAUGGGAAACAGGUUAAUAUUCCUGUACUUGGUGUUACUGCGAAGGGGGGACGGAGAAGGCUAUGUUGGCCGGGCGACGGUUGUCCCGGUUUAAGCGUGUAGGCUGGUUUUCCAGGCAAAUCCGGAAAAUCAAGGCUGAGGCGUGAUGACGAGGCACUACGGUGCUGAAGCAACAAAUGCCCUGCUUCCAGGAAAAGCCUCUAAGCAUCAGGUAACAUCAAAUCGUACCCCAAACCGACACAGGUGGUCAGGUAGAGAAUACCAAGGCGCUUGAGAGAACUCGGGUGAAGGAACUAGGCAAAAUGGUGCCGUAACUUCGGGAGAAGGCACGCUGAUAUGUAGGUGAAGUCCCUUGCGGAUGGAGCUGAAAUCAGUCGAAGAUACCAGCUGGCUGCAACUGUUUAUUAAAAACACAGCACUGUGCAAACACGAAAGUGGACGUAUACGGUGUGACGCCUGCCCGGUGCCGGAAGGUUAAUUGAUGGGGUCAGCGCAAGCGAAGCUCUUGAUCGAAGCCCCGGUAAACGGCGGCCGUAACUAUAACGGUCCUAAGGUAGCGAAAUUCCUUGUCGGGUAAGUUCCGACCUGCACGAAUGGCGUAAUGAUGGCCAGGCUGUCUCCACCCGAGACUCAGUGAAAUUGAACUCGCUGUGAAGAUGCAGUGUACCCGCGGCAAGACGGAAAGACCCCGUGAACCUUUACUAUAGCUUGACACUGAACAUUGAGCCUUGAUGUGUAGGAUAGGUGGGAGGCUUUGAAGUGUGGACGCCAGUCUGCAUGGAGCCGACCUUGAAAUACCACCCUUUAAUGUUUGAUGUUCUAACGUUGACCCGUAAUCCGGGUUGCGGACAGUGUCUGGUGGGUAGUUUGACUGGGGCGGUCUCCUCCUAAAGAGUAACGGAGGAGCACGAAGGUUGGCUAAUCCUGGUCGGACAUCAGGAGGUUAGUGCAAUGGCAUAAGCCAGCUUGACUGCGAGCGUGACGGCGCGAGCAGGUGCGAAAGCAGGUCAUAGUGAUCCGGUGGUUCUGAAUGGAAGGGCCAUCGCUCAACGGAUAAAAGGUACUCCGGGGAUAACAGGCUGAUACCGCCCAAGAGUUCAUAUCGACGGCGGUGUUUGGCACCUCGAUGUCGGCUCAUCACAUCCUGGGGCUGAAGUAGGUCCCAAGGGUAUGGCUGUUCGCCAUUUAAAGUGGUACGCGAGCUGGGUUUAGAACGUCGUGAGACAGUUCGGUCCCUAUCUGCCGUGGGCGCUGGAGAACUGAGGGGGGCUGCUCCUAGUACGAGAGGACCGGAGUGGACGCAUCACUGGUGUUCGGGUUGUCAUGCCAAUGGCACUGCCCGGUAGCUAAAUGCGGAAGAGAUAAGUGCUGAAAGCAUCUAAGCACGAAACUUGCCCCGAGAUGAGUUCUCCCUGAC
RNAcentral lists this ribosomal RNA (2793 nucleotides) under Escherichia coli. RNAcentral describes it as "partial 23S ribosomal RNA". It matches the Rfam family "Bacterial large subunit ribosomal RNA". The record is from RNAcentral. Lineage: Bacteria; Pseudomonadati; Pseudomonadota; Gammaproteobacteria; Enterobacterales; Enterobacteriaceae.